RNAcentral lists this ribosomal RNA (245 nucleotides) under uncultured bacterium. RNAcentral's name for it is "partial small subunit ribosomal RNA". It matches the Rfam family "Bacterial small subunit ribosomal RNA", at positions 26 to 285 of the family's 1533-position model. The record is from RNAcentral.
AGAAUCAACGCUGGCGGCGUGCCUAACACAUGCAAGUCGAACGAGAAAGUGGAGCAAUCCAUGAGUAAAGUGGCGACCGGGUGAGUAACACGUGACUAACCUACCUUCGAGUGGGGGAUAACCUCGGGAAACCGAGGCUAAUACCGCAUAACAUCGUGAAAUCAAAGCAGUAAUGCGCUGGAAGAGGGGGUCGCGGCUGAUUAGCUAGUUGGCGGGGUAAUGGCCCACCAAGGCGAAGAUCGGUA